CAGAAAGCAGAGCUGCUGGAGGAGCACUGAGGCGAUCCGGGCCGGCUGCUUCCGUUUUACUCCUGAACCAGGAAGCAAGGCCAUUAGGAGAGCACGUGGCCAAGGAGUCAUCUGGACGAAUGGAGCGCUGGCCCAGGUGGAGAAAGGGACUCAGGUUUCCUGGUGCGACAGGGGCCCGGUCUCUCUGUUCAUAGCUGCCGGGCACUAAUUGCUCCCUGCUGUCUGCCUGGUUGCAGGGAGAGGGAAGGGAGACCAGGUGAGGUCUAUGAAACACUGCCACGGGCAGAAGCAGGUGGAGACAGCGGCUCAGGGAAGGGCUCGGAGGGAAAAGGUGAGGGUCAGAGGACCAUAGGCCCCAAGUGCCUGUGGGUGACUGGUUCUGAUGAUGCUAGAGGGAGCAGACUGAGGAAGAAUCGGAUGUGUGGAGAAGACGGCAGUGCCACAAAGAGGAUUUUCCGUGUAGCUACUGACCAUGGACAAGACUAGAUGAGGACCAGGUUGUGUGUGAUGAGAGCUCGGGGCUGUGCCGUAAAUGGAAGGAGGCACCAUGAGUAUGCGCCAGAGCGAGGGUUUUGGAGCUGAGCCCUGUGGGCAGCUGCUUUUUCCAGAGAAGCUGGAAAAGGCAGGACGGGGUUUCUCUCCCGAGCCCCCAGAAGGACCCUAGCCUGUCAGCACCUCUAUUUUUAGCCCUGGGCCCCUCAUUUUGGAUGUCCAACCUCCAGAACGGUUCAGAAGUGAGUUAAUUUAAGGAAGAACAGUUGCCCACAGCUGCAGCAAACACCCUGCGGGAACAGAGCCCCUGCAGAGGGUGUGGACCUGUGCAGGUGACUGCCUUAGCUCCGUGGUCUGCAAAUGCUCUGGGACCCUGUGGCAGUGGCUCUAAGUCCACAGUGACAAUCACAACACAUCAGCUUCUGACCUGCCCAAGUGUGACAGUCCCGCCCUAGCCAAGGCUGGCUUGUUCAGACAGAUGUCUUGGCUACUGAAUGUAAACCAAAAAUAGAAGAACAGUGAGUCCCAGUUCUUGGAAGAAAUCAACUUCUUUCAUCUUGGCUACAUCGGUGCUGGAAAGCCAUGGCUGUCCUUUGGUUAAUGUGUAUGGAGGUCAUCUACCAGGACUUGGCAGCUCUGAGACACCAGCCUGCAUUUAGGGUCCUGUGAGUAGGAACUCUGAAUUCUAGCCAUCACAGUGCAGGCGGGUUCUAUUGUUUCAAGUCAAAAUCACCUAAGAGCUCAUUUAUUUACAAUACAGUUCUCCUCAGUGACAAAACCCAGACUCAGGGCUGAAGAAAGUAAGCAUUAUUGUCCAGCAAGAAAAAAAAUAUUCUUCUUCCACAAAGCCAUCCUCUUUCUUUGCCCCGAGAUGCUUUCUCCCACUAGAUAGGUGCCUGCCAGGCUCAGAGGGGGUGUUUUUUUGGUUUGUUUCCUGGAAUGAUUAAUACAAUUUUUCAACAAUACACCAUUUCUCUUAAGGGAAAAGAAAUCAACAUAUAUGUAAAAAGAGACACUUAAAAAGAUUUCUGACCAUUUAUAAAUAUUUUCUAACUCCAAUAGAGGUACAAUAUUUUGAGGGCAGAUAAAAAGCAUAAAAAUACAGG
Molecule: long non-coding RNA, 1598 nt
Filed under: Heterocephalus glaber (naked mole-rat)
Lineage: Eukaryota; Metazoa; Chordata; Mammalia; Rodentia; Bathyergidae
Description: lncRNA (ENSHGLG00000049892.1)
Source: RNAcentral